RNAcentral lists this unclassified non-coding RNA (341 nucleotides) under Hevea brasiliensis (rubber tree). The record is from RNAcentral. Lineage: Eukaryota; Viridiplantae; Streptophyta; Magnoliopsida; Malpighiales; Euphorbiaceae.
GUGCUUUCAAGGCUGAGUAUGUAUUGUUUUCAUUGUUUUACUGUCUAAAUUUUAGUUAGUCAAUGAAAUUUGAAUGGAGCAGACAUGAACUGAUGUUAUAGCAUCUACUUUUUCUGCAAUUCCUUGAUGUGAUGAUCUCUAGUGUGCUUCAGUUUCUGGCUCAUUUAUUCUUUUUCCCUCAUUAGAGAAAAAGUGAUGCGGUCAAGGAUAAUUAGAUUUGGAGAUUAUUUUCAUUUAGUUCUUAAUUAUGAAUUUCAGAUUUUUCUUGUUAAUUUUCUAUUUAGCAAGUUUUAGUACUAUUUAUGUGUUCCCUUCGUGUCUUAGUUGUGAUGCAAAAGAGA